GAAAUGCGAUAAGUAAUGUGAAUUGCAGAAUUCAGUGAAUCAUCGAAUCUUUGAACGCACAUUGCGCCCGCCAGUAUUCUGGCGGGCAUGCCUGUCCGAGCGUCAUUUCAACCAUCAAGCCCCCAGGCUUGUGUUGGGGACCUGCGGCUGCCCGCAGGCCCUGAAAACCAGUGGCGGGCUCGCUGUCACACCGAGCGUAGUAGCAAUCACCUCGCUCAGGGUGUGCUGCGGGUUCCGGCCGUUAAACAGCCUUACAAAACCCAAGGUUGACCUCGGAUCAGGUAGGAAGACCCGCUGAACUUAAGC
RNAcentral lists this unclassified non-coding RNA (306 nucleotides) under plant metagenome. Its description in RNAcentral is "partial contains 5.8S ribosomal RNA, internal transcribed spacer 2, and large subunit ribosomal RNA". The stretch from base 1 to 105 matches the Rfam family "5.8S ribosomal RNA", at positions 50 to 154 of the family's 154-position model. The record is from RNAcentral.